GGAUCAGUAGGUUGGUCGUGCCACCGGUACGUACUGGUCUCACUGAUUCCUCCUUCCUGAAGAACCGUAAUGCCAUUAAUUUGGUGUUGCGGGGAAACAGGACUGUUACUUUGAAAAAAUUAGAGUGCUUAAAGCAAGCUAACGCUUGAAUACAUUAGCAUGGAAUAAUGAAAUAGGACGAUCGAUCCUAUUUUGUUGGUUUCUAGGAUUGACGUA
This 216-nucleotide ribosomal RNA is filed under the name Glomeromycotina sp. RNAcentral describes it as "partial small subunit ribosomal RNA". The stretch from base 40 to 216 matches the Rfam family "Eukaryotic small subunit ribosomal RNA", at positions 686 to 864 of the family's 1831-position model. The record is from RNAcentral. Lineage: Eukaryota; Fungi; Glomeromycota.